Molecule: unclassified non-coding RNA, 329 nt
Filed under: soil metagenome
Description: partial contains 5.8S ribosomal RNA, internal transcribed spacer 2, and large subunit ribosomal RNA
Rfam family: 5.8S ribosomal RNA (bases 1-119)
Source: RNAcentral
AUGAAGAACGUAGCGAAAUGCGAUAAGUAAUGUGAAUUGCAGAAUUCAGUGAAUCAUCGAAUCUUUGAACGCACAUUGCGCCCUCUGGUAUUCCGGGGGGCAUGCCUGUUCGAGCGUCAUUACAACCCUCAAGCUUUGCUUGGUAUUGGACAUUGCCAGUUUCUGGCAGGUCUUAAAAUCAGUGGCGGUGCCAUUUGGCUUCAAGCGUAGUAAUUCUUCUCGCUUUGGAGAUCCAGGUGGUUACUUGCCAAUAACCCCCAAUUUUUUCAGGUUGACCUCGGAUCAGGUAGGGAUACCCGCUGAACUUAAGCAUAUCAAUAAGCGGAGGA